UUUAUUGGCUUGGGCCAGCAGCUCCUGCCGUUUUUCUCCCAGUCACCUGAAGGGAUCCCCCAUGGGGCUGAGGCAGAGCACGAUGUGCAGGUUGUUCUGCACGCGUUCAAUGAGUAGGAAGGACUCAUCAGCUAUUUGGGUGUCCACAAAAAUGAAGGACGUGGUCUUGAGCUCCACCCCAGCCUGGCGAUACAGACGCUUGAUAUCUGGCUUCAGAAACCCAGCCGUACCAUCUCGGAACUCCUGCUUCCGAUAAUGUUUGGUGACCUCGAUCUGGAAGGUGGUGUAGUCGCAGAUGGAUGAAGCCAGGCGGGCCAGACUCUGGCGUCCGCUGCCCCCGAUACCCACCAGGAGCAUGUUGCCCCGAGGCUGUCCAAUGACCCGCACGAUCCGUGUGACUGGG
Molecule: long non-coding RNA, 403 nt
Filed under: Homo sapiens (human)
Lineage: Eukaryota; Metazoa; Chordata; Mammalia; Primates; Hominidae
Description: HSALNT0236781
Source: RNAcentral